UACGGAGGGGGCUAGCGUUGUUCGGAAUUACUGGGCGUAAAGCGCGCGUAGGCGGACCUGCAAGUCGGGGGUGAAAGCCCAGGGCUCAACCCUGGGAUGCCGGUGGAAACUGUCGGGCUAGAGUCCGGAAGAGGCGAGUGGAAUUCCUGGUGUAGCGGUGAAAUGCGCAGAUAUCAGGAGGAACACCAAUGGCGAAGGCAGCUCGCUGGGACGUGACUGACGCUGAGACGCGAAAGCGUGGGGAGCAAACAGG
RNAcentral lists this ribosomal RNA (253 nucleotides) under uncultured bacterium. Its description in RNAcentral is "partial 16S ribosomal RNA". It matches the Rfam family "Bacterial small subunit ribosomal RNA", at positions 524 to 776 of the family's 1533-position model. The record is from RNAcentral.